CACAUCCAGACCGGGCCCCGCAAACUCACCAGCUCUAAUACGGGCCUCAAGCCUCGCUUCUUUGUUUCUAACAAGAGAGAAACGAUGGAGUCAGGGAUGUACAGGAAAGCAAAGGAGAGGCAGCAGUUUCCGUUUCUGCUUCCGCACUUUCCACACAAACAUUCCUCUCACACACGCGCGCACCCAUCCAACAUCCCCUAUCCAAUUAAAACAAAAGUAUCCCAUUUGAAGGAGAGAUUUCAAUGUCAGCUUCUCCACACCUUUCUCUGUACGUAAAAAAGGCUGCCAGCGGAUUGUUGCGAAACUGUGAAUCUGUGUUAAAAUUACAUUUACCACUGCUGUAGGUUUGAAGAGUGGCCGGGGAGAACGAGUUGCGUAUACGUCACGUGAGGGCGUGAUGACACAACGCAAAGAGCGCCAAAGACCAUAGACUUGAUAUUUAGAUUGUGAUAGAACGUUCCUCCGGUUCUUGUAUGCGGGUUUUUUUCUCGAGGCGGCGGUGAGAGUUGCUGAUCGCCGAUAGAAAUCAAAGAAUUGGGCAAUAGUGUGUGAAGUUGCCAGUCAACAGUUACUACCUGGACAAUAGACUGGAGCAUGCACACAAAUCACAGACUUCAACAGUAAGAAUGAUGAAACCUUGAAAUACAAAGAAGAAGAAACUGUAAGAACGUAGAAUGGACCUAUUUAUGGUUAGAGCCUUCUAAAUCAGGUGGCCAGACUUCAGGAGCUGCCAGAAUGUGAGUGUUGCUGCCCCAUAUGAUGAACCACGGAACUGCAAGUGGUGGCUUCUUGGUGAAGUACCUUCAAGCCUAGACGGGCUCCACCCAGACAGGUUGGCCAAUGGUUCCACCUCCAUACUCAAAAUGAAACUGGGCCUGGAAGUAUGCAACAACUCCACACAUACCUUGCGAAUUAGAUUACCAAUGCCAGGAUGUCUGUCUUAUCAACUACUCUCCUGCUCCCCCCCCCCACCGGGCAUCAUGAAA
Molecule: long non-coding RNA, 986 nt
Organism: Rhineura floridana
Lineage: Eukaryota; Metazoa; Chordata; Lepidosauria; Squamata; Rhineuridae
Exons: 5
Source: RefSeq, a predicted model, not a curated record